Coregonus clupeaformis (lake whitefish) is the source of this 352-nucleotide long non-coding RNA. RefSeq lists it as uncharacterized. Lineage: Eukaryota; Metazoa; Chordata; Actinopteri; Salmoniformes; Salmonidae. The record is from RefSeq and is a predicted model, not a curated record. The transcript has 3 exons.
UGUGUUGGAGUCUUCCAGUUCCAGGAAGGGACAGUGGUCAUGCCAUAUCUCUUCACUAUCCUCAGCUCUCUACAGGGAGCUCUGCUGUUCAUCAUGCACUGCCUACUGAACAAAACGGUGAGAGAGGAGUAUGGCAAGCUCCUGUCCUGUAUCUGCACACCACAGAAGAAGAGAAACUCAGAGAUCAGCACUACCAACCCUUCCUCCAGCCACUCCCAGGGGUCAGGGAGUGCCCAAAACACUGGGGAGUCGCAGAUAUGAUGACAUCACCAAUCCCCCACAAUGCACCUCUUUACUCCCCCUCCCUUUUCAGGCCUGGUUAGUAAAAAUGUGCCCUAUCUAGAACCUAAAA